AGUGAACGCUGGCGGUAGGCCUAACACAUGCAAGUCGAACGGCAGCACCGUAAGAGCUUGCUCUUACGGGUGGCGAGUGGCGGACGGGUGAGGAAUACAUCGGAAUCUACUUUUUCGUGGGGGAUAACGUAGGGAAACUUACGCUAAUACCGCAUACGACCUACGGGUGAAAGCAGGGGAUCUUCGGACCUUGCGCGAUUGAAUGAGCCGAUGUCGGAUUAGCUAGUUGGCGGGGUAAAGGCCCACCAAGGCGACGAUCCGUAGCUGGUCUGAGAGGAUGAUCAGCCACACUGGAACUGAGACACGGUCCAGACUCCUACGGGAGGCAGCAGUGGGGAAUAUUGGACAAUGGGCGCAAGCCUGAUCCAGCCAUACCGCGUGGGUGAAGAAGGCCUUCGGGUUGUAAAGCCCUUUUGUUGGGAAAGAAAAGCAGCAGGUUAAUACCCCGCUGUUCUGACGGUACCCAAAGAAUAAGCGUCGGCUAACUUCGUG
This 492-nucleotide ribosomal RNA is filed under the name uncultured bacterium. RNAcentral describes it as "partial 16S ribosomal RNA". It matches the Rfam family "Bacterial small subunit ribosomal RNA", at positions 29 to 507 of the family's 1533-position model. The record is from RNAcentral.